RNAcentral lists this long non-coding RNA (649 nucleotides) under Salmo trutta (river trout). Its description in RNAcentral is "lncRNA (ENSSTUG00000015843.1)". The record is from RNAcentral. Lineage: Eukaryota; Metazoa; Chordata; Actinopteri; Salmoniformes; Salmonidae.
AGACUAUACCUGUGCCCUCCAGACAGACAUCCUACUGCAGGGACGCCUCUACCUGUCAGAGAACUGGCUCUGUUUCUAUAGCAACAUGUUUCGGGGGACAAAGAUAGCCUUGACUCUGGAAGUCAUCAUUAUGCUCUCUGGUUGUAGAUAGCCUUGACUCUGGAAGUCAUCAUUAUGCUCUCUGGUUGUAGAUAGCCUUGACUCUGGAAGUCAUCACUAUGCUCUCUGGUUAUAGAUAGCCUUGACUCUGGAAGUCAUCACUAUGCUCUCUGGUUAUAGAUAGCCUUGACUCUGGAGGUCAUCACUAUGCUAUAUUGUCGUAGAUAGCCUUGACUCUGGAGGUCAUCACUGUGCUAUAUUGUCGUAGAUAGCCUUGACUCUGGAGGUCAUCACUGUGCUAUAUUGUCGUAGAUAGCCUUGACUCUGAGGGACAUCAAGGCCAUGUACAGAGAGAAGACAGCACGGAUGAUCCCCAAUGCCAUUCAGAUCUGCACAGACUCAGAGAAGUUGUUCUUCACUUCCUUCUCAGCCAGAGAGAAGAGUUACCAGGGAGUGUUCCGGAUGUGGCAGAACACUCUGAUGGACAAGGUGAGGCACAGUUCAGCGACUUCAUAACCUCACCUCACUCACUGGGGCUGCAUCCCAAAUG